RNAcentral lists this ribosomal RNA (549 nucleotides) under uncultured bacterium. Its description in RNAcentral is "bacterial SSU rRNA". It matches the Rfam family "Bacterial small subunit ribosomal RNA", at positions 356 to 896 of the family's 1533-position model. The record is from RNAcentral.
AGGGAAUCUUCGGCAAUGGACGGAAGUCUGACCGAGCAACGCCGCGUGAGUGAAGAAGGUUUUCGGAUCGUAAAGCUCUGUUGUAAGAGAAGAACGAGUGUGAGAGUGGAAAGUUCACACUGUGACGGUAUCUUACCAGAAAGGGACGGCUAACUACGUGCCAGCAGCCGCGGUAAUACGUAGGUCCCGAGCGUUAUCCGGAUUUAUUGGGCGUAAAGCGAGCGCAGGCGGUUAGAUAAGUCUGAAGUUAAAGGCUGUGGCUUAACCAUAGUACGCUUUGGAAACUGUUUAACUUGAGUGCAAGAGGGGAGAGUGGAAUUCCAUGUGUAGCGGUGAAAUGCGUAGAUAUAUGGAGGAACACCGGUGGCGAAAGCGGCUCUCUGGCUUGUAACUGACGCUGAGGCUCGAAAGCGUGGGGAGCAAACAGGAUUAGAUACCCUGGUAGUCCACGCCGUAAACGAUGAGUGCUAGGUGUUAGACCCUUUCCGGGGUUUAGUGCCGCAGCUAACGCAUUAAGCACUCCGCCUGGGGAGUACGACCGCAAGGUUG